RNAcentral lists this ribosomal RNA (401 nucleotides) under uncultured bacterium. RNAcentral's name for it is "bacterial SSU rRNA". It matches the Rfam family "Bacterial small subunit ribosomal RNA", at positions 32 to 413 of the family's 1533-position model. The record is from RNAcentral.
AAUCAACGCUGGCGGCGUGCCUCAGACAUGCAAGUCGAACGCGAAAGUCCCCUUCGGGGACGAAGUAGAGUGGCGCACGGGUGAGUAACACGUAGGUAAUCUACCUUUGGAUGGGGAAUAACAACCGGAAACGGUUGCUAAUACCGCAUAAUGCAGCGGCACCUAAUGGUGACAGUUGUUAAAGCGGGGGAUCGAAAGACCUCGCGUCUAAAGAGGAGCCUGCGGCGGAUUAGCUAGUUGGUAAGGAAUGGCUUACCAAGGCUACGAUCCGUAACCGGCCUGAGAGGGCGGUCGGUCACACUGACACUGACAUACGGGUCAGACUCCUACGGGAGGGCAGCAGUCGGGAAUUUUGGCAAUGGGCGAAAGCCUGACCCAGCAACGCCGCGUGAAGGAUGAAA